RNAcentral lists this ribosomal RNA (486 nucleotides) under Eutrombicula tinami. Its description in RNAcentral is "SSU rRNA". It matches the Rfam family "Eukaryotic small subunit ribosomal RNA", at positions 539 to 1035 of the family's 1831-position model. The record is from RNAcentral. Lineage: Eukaryota; Metazoa; Arthropoda; Arachnida; Trombidiformes; Trombiculidae.
UUAUAUUGGGAGGCAAGUCUGGUGCCAGCAGCCGCGGUAAUUCCAGCUCCAAUAGCGUAUAUUAAAGUUGUUGCGGUUAAAAAGCUCGUAGUUGGAUCUCAGCUCACGCUAAGUGGUCCACCUAAUGGUGGUUACUACUUAGCUGAGCAUUUUACAGAUUUGUCUCUUGAUGCUCUUCACCGAGUGUCAAGAGUGGUCUGUACGUUUACUUUGAAAAAAUUAGAGUGCUUAAAGCAGGCAACUCGCCCGAAUAAUCUUGCAUGGAAUAAUGGAAUAGGACCUUGGUUCUAUUUUGUUGGUCUCCGGAAUCUGAGGUAAUGAUUAAGAGGGACAGACGGGGGCAUUCGUAUUGCGCCGCUAGAGGUGAAAUUCUUGGACCGGCGCAAGACGAACUACAGCGAAAGCAUUUGCCAAGAAUGUUUUCAUUAAUCAAGAACGAAAGUAGAGGUCGAAGGCGAUCAGAUACCGCCCUAGUUCUAACCAUAA